RNAcentral lists this small RNA (286 nucleotides) under Nomascus leucogenys (northern white-cheeked gibbon). Its description in RNAcentral is "7SK RNA (ENSNLEG00000023332.2)". The stretch from base 1 to 91 matches the Rfam family "7SK RNA", at positions 1 to 108 of the family's 331-position model. Lineage: Eukaryota; Metazoa; Chordata; Mammalia; Primates; Hylobatidae. The record is from RNAcentral.
GGAUGUGAGGGUGAUCUGGCUGUGAUCACCAGGGUUGAUUUUGCUAAUCUGUCUGGCUAGGCAGGUGUCCCCCUUGCUCCCUCACUGCUCCAUAUACAUUGUUCCCAAAGCUGCUAAACGGGGAGACCACGUCUCAUAUUGUCUUCUGCCUAUUCUGCCUCAAAGGAAAGAGAAAGUGGAGUUGAAGAAAAGGCAGAAGUGAAAUUCAAUAGUCAGACAGCCUGGUGCCACACCCCAGGCCUGGUAGUUAAAGAUUGACCCCUGACCUAAUCGCUUGUGUUAUCUA